Molecule: long non-coding RNA, 4112 nt
Organism: Taeniopygia guttata (zebra finch)
Lineage: Eukaryota; Metazoa; Chordata; Aves; Passeriformes; Estrildidae
Source: Ensembl
UUAUUUGCAAAGACAAAAAGGCAAGAAACAAACAGCCAUUGAAAAAACGUACAGCAGGAGAGCACAAUAACUUACACUAUUUACAGGAACACACCAAGGUAGAAAACACACACACACCUCAUGCUCUGACAAACCCAGCCCGGGGCCGGGCUGCACAACCCCCCCAGAGGCCACAGCAGCCUCCAGAGCAGCUGGCCUCUGGCAAAAGCUCCGAGUGUGAAAAGGCAUCUGCUGUUGUGCUCCUUGUGCAGAAAGAGAGAUGGAGCAGGGGACACAGUGCUGCAGCUGCCCAGCCCCGCGGGGGGCUGCACCCGGGGCUCCCAGGCAGGGGGAGAGCUGGAAGGAGCCAGGGCAGAGCUGUGCUGGGUGGGGGGACAAGCCCUGGGGCAGGAGGGAGUGCAGGGCUGUAUUUUCUGGGAGCUGGGCCUGCCCCAGUUACAGCUGGAGCACCAUGCAGCACCUGGAGGGGCUGGGGGUCCUCGUCCCUUCCCAGAAGGGUGAGGGGGGCUCAGGAGGAUGUGCAGCCUGCAGGAGACAGUGAAACCCCAGGGAGCCUGUGGGAAGCAAGCUGGAACCCUGUGCGUGGCAGGGAUCGGGGAUGGUACCUGGGCUCUCUGCAGUGUGGGGCACGGGCAGGAGCGGUGAGGAGCACAGGAAGAGGGGUGAGGAGCACUGGGAGAGCACCGUGGGAAGCAGGCACUGGGUUUGCAGCACCAAGGCAGGAGGCAGCAACUGAGACCCCUGAGCAGCUGUGCUGAGAGGUGGUGGGGAGGAACAUCACACCUGGGGGGACAGGAUGGGACCCCAGAGCUCCCAUUCCUCGCAGCUGGCCAGCCCAGCCUGUCAUCAGAGCUGGAGGUGGCAGGGAGGGGACACUGCUCAGGAGGGCUCACAGUGGUUUGGGGAUCCAGUGCUUUUAGGCUCCUGACUUUGGUCCACCCCUGUUGUGCAAAGCUCAGCUCUGGGGCAGCCCUGCUCCCUGCACAGAGGCUGGAGCUGUGUGCUGGGGGUGAGGAGACCCCCAGAGCAAGAGUUAGGCCCUGGGGGAAGAGGCAUGACCCAGCAGCUUGAGGAAGGAGUGCAGCUAUGAUCACAGCCUGGUCACAAAUCGAGUGCCACCCCAAACUGGCCGUGUGGCUGCCCAGGCCCUGGGCCAGCCUGAGCUGGGGGUUCCAGAGCCCCCCUGGUUUCUGUGCCGUGCCUGGCACUGAAUCUGGACACAACUACGUUUUUUGGGAGUGAAAAAUCAAACAUCACACACCAGAAUCAGCUUCUCACACACCAUCCCCAGCUUGGGCAGAGGCUUUUACAGCACCAAGGCCCUGCUGCCCUGCAGCUGGCUCUGGGCAGUGGUGGCUGGAGCCAGCCCAUGCCAGCAAUGUGCUUUGCACAGAUAUUUCCCAGUCAAGAGCUCCAUCACAGCCACAGAGAGCAUCUGUGAGAGCAGAGGGAGAAAUUCGGCUGAGCCCAGACUGUCAGAGCUCCCUUUCCACCCUUCCAUGGGAGCCACAUCCAGGCUGCCAAUCAGCCCAGUCACCAAUGGCAACACCACAGAUCCCCAGCCAGGAAUCCCAUGAGAAAUGGGAGCAGAACCUCGCUCUGGGGGAUCCCACAGCAAAGGGGGAGCUGGCAGGGCAGGGACUCCAGCCCUGCUGCCCUGCCCAGGAGGCAGGGCUGGGAACACAGGGGGUGGCUCAGACAUGCAGCAAGGUGGCAGUGAGGCCACGUGUCCCCAGGACGAAUUCAAGUGUCAAAACCAUAACAAUAACAAUAAUUAAGAGAGAAAAAAAAAAUCUUACACCACAAAAUCCCCACCCCAUCCCCAACAGGAAACCCAAUGACGACAGCACCCAGCUUGCACCGUGAGGUAGCUAAACCAGAUCAACACCCAAAAAAUGCUCUUUUGCAUGAGAAACAUCAACCCACACAGGUACUGACACACACACACACACACACACACACACACACACACACACACAGCUAUGGGAUCACAGUCACCCCUGGCCUGGUUCCAGCCAGGACAGAGUUAAUUUUUGCAGUAGCCAGGAGGGGCCAUGGCCAGAGCCCAGAGGUCCUUUCAGACCACCUCACAUCAUUGCUGGGCAGGGGGAAGGGAGUCUCUUCCAGGGAGAAGGGAUCUCUUCCAGUCAGGGUAGCUUGCACUGCGGUGAGCAUUUGCAUGUGAUUUUCUCUCUUUUGUACACUUUUGUUAUUAAUAUUGUUGCUGUUAAUUGUUUUUAUCUCAUUGCUGUUUCCAGUCAAUCUCUACCUGUGAUUUUUUCACCUUUGUGCCUCCAGUUCUCCUCUCCAUUCCACCACAGGGAAGGAAGGAGCUGGGGCUUGUGGCAGUGCAGUUUUAGUGGGAACACUAAAUUGGGGAAUACCAUUCCUAAACCACAACAGUUUGUUUUGUUUUGUUUUGUUUUGUUUUGUUUUUUUUUUGCAUCCAAAGUAGGGCUUGAACGGUUGAGAUAACAACAGAUCUGCCCAGAGUAUGUUGGAAGCAAAUUUGAUCUAAACAUUUUCUGCAUUAGGUGCUGAGCCAGUGGUGACAAUGUUUUCUGGUCUGCCUAUGUGGGUACCUAACCCUGUUCAUAUUUCUGUCUGUUCCCAUCACAGCCUCUGUCUCAGGGAGGAGGAUCAGGAUUGCUCUGUCACUUUAUGCCAUGAUAACACCAAGGGCAGUGAGGGGCAUUUGGGAUGUGUCUUGAGUGUUGCCCUCCUACCCUUACCUCAGGCACUUCCUUUGGGAGUCCAUUAAUAAACAUCAUGACCUCUGGGGGGAACAGGGGAGGAUGAUUUUCCCCAGACUUUCACCCACUUUCCCCCCUUGAGGCCUGUUAAAACAGCUUUUGAAGCUCUGAAUUCCCUUUGGAUGUUAAGGAAAUCAUAUUUUUCCAGAUCACCUUACUGCAGGCCACAUAAUCUUUGGAGUCAAGAAAGAGAUUUCUAGGGAAGUUACUCAGAGAUCUAUCCUGAUGGGGAAUAGUCAUGAUUGGCAUGGAAUGUGGGAGACAAUGGGCCACUUUGGGAAGAAAUUCUCUCCUCCAGUGGUUUGGAAGUGUCCCCCUGAACAAGUAGGGGACGCUGUAAAAGUGCCAGAGCACUUGCAAGGAGAAUGCUGUGGCAGUUCCAGCGAGGAGCAGGAGCCUCACCGCAGCGUGCUGGGCCCUGUCAGCAUUUAUCAGACACUGCUUUGCACCAGACAGCACCCUCAGGAGGAGGAGGAGGAGGAGGAGGAGGAAGGCAGAGCAGCAGGCACCGUGGCCACUCAAGCUGCAGCUGAAGCACAGGAACAACCCGUGCUGGCAGCAGUGCCCCUACACAGAAGAAAUCCAAAUCUCUAUCCAGUUUGUAUGGAGAGGGAUGAAGAGGAAGCAGGGCCCUCACAACAGGAGGAGGAGGCAGGGCUGGGGAUAAUCACUCCAUGCCCACCCCAGGUGAGGGAAAUCUGAAGAGGUUUCAGCUGCCAGGGGGGUUGAGCCCCUGCUGACCCCACUGCUGCAAUGCUGGGAUGCUGCAGCCACGCUGUGGAGCCAGAUGGGAGCGAAGCCAAACUGGGAUCCCUGUCCUGGGACGUGGGCAUGGACAAGGGAAGAGCACAGAAACCCCCACCUCUGCAGGCAGCUCCUGCCAGGCUGAGGGAAAGGCAUUCCCUCAGGGAUGAUCGAGCAGAGCACCCAGGCAGGUGGAGCAGCAUGGAGAAGGUGCCCAGCACCCCAGGGAGUGGCAGAGGGAGUCCCUAGGGAUUCAAACAAGCAGCAGUGCCCUGCAGAUGAGCUCCAGUGCACACCAUGCACGUGCCAGGAGGUUGUACACAGCACAGGCUCAUUGGCAAUGAUGUGGAUGAUUUUCCCCAGUCUUUCACUCACUUUUCCUGCUUGAGGCCUGUUAAAAUAGCUUUUGAAGCUCUGAAUUCCCUUUGAAUGUUAAGGAAAUCGUAUUUUUCCAGGUCUCCUUACUGCAGGCCACAUAAUCUUUGGAGUCAAGAAAGAGAUUUCUAGGGAGGUUAUUCAGGGAUCUGAACAGAAGGAGAACAAACAGUGUUAAAGGUGACUCCCCAACUCUGAUGAUGAAGAUUAUCAUUUUUUCUUCCUGACAACCUGUGUCCC